AGAAAUUUCAUAUAAAUAUAUCUCAUGCCCACACAACCAUAUGGCUAAAACAUACAUGUGAUUACGAAAAAAUUACGCAACGCCCUUGGAGAAUACUCAUGUUGUAGACUCCGACUUGUGGUAGUGCAUUUGACUUGUGGCGAUAUCUUGAGUUUGGAGUAGGACACUUGAUUUGUAAUACACUUCUUUCCUGCAAGCAUAAGUAUUUGAUGGAGCCCCACACUUUCCUACAAACUUUACUAACUUAACUACAAAGACUUCUAUAUAUAACAUAAUAGAUAAUACUAUAAGUAAAAGGACUGGACAUCAAUAUUGGAUCAUGCCAUAAGCUUGAGAAUUUGGUAUGAACGAAGUUUCCUUUUAUGGACAACUCAAGUUUUGGGAUUUCACCUUGAGGGAUAGGUAGGCUUUAUAACAAAUAAACUAAAAAAAGUUAGAAAUGUCAAUAUGACUUAACCUGUUAUUAUACAGGCUUUCUUGUUCAACAUCUAUGUUGUUUAGUCUGGUUUUAAUUAUAAAUUCAAAUGUUUUUAAUUUAAGUUGUGUUUCGUUGUAAUUUUUGUAGUUUUAAUGAUUUUAUUGCUACUAUUAUCACAUUUUAGUAAUUUGUGUUCCAUACUACAACUAAAUAUUAAAGUCUUGACGAAAAUUUUAUGUAUUAAAUAAUUU
Molecule: long non-coding RNA, 669 nt
Filed under: Daucus carota (carrot)
Lineage: Eukaryota; Viridiplantae; Streptophyta; Magnoliopsida; Apiales; Apiaceae
Description: long non-coding RNA (DCAR_LNC002802)
Source: RNAcentral